GACACAUCUGUUUGCAGUUGGGCACUUACCCAGGACAGUCAUUGGCUUCAGACUCCUAAAGGACCCACGUCAGAUGGGGUAUACAAGGAUACCUCAUCCUAUUUUUCUGAUCCCAGCCUUGUGAUCACAGUGAUUUUGAAAAGCUCAUUAGAAGAACCGUCUUGCUUCCUCUAGGUGUGAUUUAAAUAACACACUUGUUCUCAGUCCACAUCCCUCGGCUUCUACGCAGAUACUGACUGAGCACAUACUAUAUCCUGGGGACUGUUCUGUGGGCUGGAGUUACAACAUGGGACAAGACAGAUGCUUAUCUUCAGCACAACCUCUGGUUCACAAACCUGUCUGCUGCUGUUCCCCGCCUCCCCACCCCGAGACCGGGUUUUAUCUUUCCCAAAGCUGUGUUUGAGUGGGGCCCCAUCCCCAUCCUACAUCACCAUGGGAGGAAAUCUCCCAGACCCAGCCCCCCUCCAAGUGUUGGGGAAGCCACUCAUGAGAAAGCACUGCUAUGAUUGAAAGGCAGCUCCACAGCUUCCCAGGUAGGGAUGAGAGAAGUAUUGCUAAUUUGUUCAGUGUCGCACCUGCUUUGUUCUUCACUGGACCAAAGGGGAAAGUCAAAGCUUCCAGGUAUCCUGCAGGGGGAAAGAAGUGUUCCUGGUCCCAGCUAUUGCCUAGGAACUCAGGUUCCAGAGGAUUCUUUCUCCAUAUCACUUGCCCUGUGUCUUCAAAACAAAAGGCAACUGUGUCUGACUGCAAAGGUUUGAGGUUUGCUGAGCUGACACGCAGCUUCAGAAUGCAGUGAGUGAGGGUUUGAGCUGUGGAAGAGCUUUGGCUUAUAAAAAAGACAAAUUAAUUAACUUGUCAAAUCCUUUUUCUCAGAACACAUGAAUACAAUUGAUUCUUGCAUAAUGAAGGUUGUUUCUUAGUAGCACCAAGCAUCCAUUUUCUUGCUUCUUUUCUCAUUCCAUUUCCUGGCUCUCGCAGUGUGCACAAAUUAGGGUUGUAUUUGCAAGUUACAUAUGAAAACUGAGGAACAUUUUGCAAAAUUAAACAAUACAUAUUCUUCCUACGUUUGUAUCUAUGUAGG
This 1081-nucleotide long non-coding RNA is filed under the name Equus caballus (horse). RNAcentral describes it as "lncRNA (ENSECAG00000049472.1)". The record is from RNAcentral. Lineage: Eukaryota; Metazoa; Chordata; Mammalia; Perissodactyla; Equidae.